Molecule: non-coding RNA, 51 nt
Filed under: unclassified sequences
Description: DUF3800-VI RNA
Rfam family: DUF3800-VI RNA
About the family: Actinobacteria, Planctomycetes, Proteobacteria, Spirochaetes. Nearby to DUF3800
Source: RNAcentral
CAGUUGAGAGGGCUGUACGUACGGUCCGCUGAGCGCAAGCUCACUCGGCUG